GAUCCUGGCUCAGGAUGAACGCUGGCGGCGUGCUUAACACAUGCAAGUCGAACGAAGCGCUUUAUUUGAUUUCUUCGGAAUGAAGAUUUUGUGACUGAGUGGCGGACGGGUGAGUAACGCGUGGGUAACCUGCCUCAUACAGGGGGAUAACAGUUGGAAACGACUGCUAAUACCGCAUAAGCGCACAGGGUCGCAUGACCUGGUGUGAAAAGCUCCGGUGGUAUGAGAUGGACCCGCGU
RNAcentral lists this ribosomal RNA (239 nucleotides) under uncultured bacterium. RNAcentral's name for it is "partial 16S ribosomal RNA". It matches the Rfam family "Bacterial small subunit ribosomal RNA", at positions 15 to 236 of the family's 1533-position model. The record is from RNAcentral.